Molecule: long non-coding RNA, 2240 nt
Filed under: Ananas comosus (pineapple)
Lineage: Eukaryota; Viridiplantae; Streptophyta; Magnoliopsida; Poales; Bromeliaceae
Description: long non-coding RNA (ACOM_LNC038066)
Source: RNAcentral
GAAACGGCCGGUUUUGGUACAGAUAGCCGCAGCACGCGGAAUAAAGGUCUAAAAAUCAUGAGAUCGGAAUUGGAGCACCUUGGAGUCAAGGAAUAAACUCCGGAAAAGACGGAUCGCGGUUCGGAGGUCGUUUGGAAGUCGCGCAAGAGUUCGGGCCAAACCGGGCAACGGUUGCCGCGGGAGGCCGAUUGCAAGUGACUACAAGCAAGCGGAGCGCGAGUUAAGGUGGGUUGGUUUACCGAAGCGACUAGGUCGCCUAUAUGUCUAAUUAUUAGACUUUCAUGUUGAUGCAUGCUAAUAAAUGGUAUAGUUGAUGCAUGAGAUAAAAUGCCAAGUAGUGAGCAUGUAAAAGUAAAGUUGUAUGCAUGUUGAUAAUGUGAUGCAAACGCUAAAUAGAAUGCAUUAUGAGCAUGUUGAAUAAAGCUAGAUAAUUAUGUGAUUUCAUGUAAGCAUAAUGCAUAGAAUGAAAUGCAUAUUGAUGAUAUAAGUUAAAAUGAGAUAUAGAAUGCAUGUUGACAUUGUGAGAUAAAUGUGCAUGAAACUAGGUUGAUAACCCUAGAAUGAUUAAAGUGAAUGAUGCUAUGCUAAAGUAUAAGUGAUAAGCAUGAUAUAAGAAUAGUAAAUGCAAGUGCAUGUUAAGAAUGCUAAGUAAGGAACAUAUAUAGGUGGACAUGAAUAAACCUAUAGAUCGAGUGGCAUUAAACCUAGUGUCGAGGACAUAGGUUAAAUAAAUGAGAUGUUGAACCUAAUGUAAAGAACAUAGGUUAAAUAAGAGUGAUGUUAAACCUAAUGUAAAGAACAUAGGUUGUGAAAUGAAAGCUGCUUAACCUAGAGUUAAGUGAACCUAGGUUGGAAAAGAAUGAUGAUCCUAGUGUAAUAAACCUAGGUUAAGAAUGUGAAAGCAAUAAACCUAAAGUAAUAACUUAGGUUGUGUAAAGGAUGUUGAACCUAGAGUCAAUUGGACCUAGGAGAUAAAUGCUUAGACCUAGAGAGGUCAGUUCCAUAGGGUUAAGACCAACCCUUGGUUGAUGUGAUAUGGAUUCCGGAAUCCCGCUGCUUGCUGCUACACCCAAAGUGGUGUCGGGUGUGUGCGACGAUUUCGCCGCCCAGGGGCUAGAGAACCAUUGUCGUGGCGUGUGUGCGACGAUUUCGCCGCCGGAUGGUUAGCCAGUUUGUGGAUCCUACCGCCUGUUGACUGAACCACUGUCGUGGCGUGUGUGCGACGAUUUCGCCGCCGGGUGACUAAGUCAUUGAACCUAGGCCGUUGUUGGGUGAGGUGCGAUUCGUUCGCCGCCAGACGGCUAGGACAGGAGUACGGUGAGCUGUUGCCAGCUGAGGUGCAUGUGAGAGUUCCUUCACCUCGAGCUAGACAGUGCGCGGACUAUCCGCGAUUGAUUGACUCAAGACCGAGUCGGGUGGCUUUGUUGACUAAGGUAAAGUGACCUUAGAGUAGAAUGCCAAAGGCUAAGAGAUAGCAUGGUUCAAGAAUGUUAAGAGUAAAGAACAGCUAAACGAUAAUGAAUAGCUAAAGAGUAAAGAAUGGCUAAAGAACAAUGAAUAGAUAAUGAAAGGAAUAGCUAAGAGCUAAAAGUAAGCAUUAAAUGGCAAGGAGUAAAGAAUGAUUAAGAACAUAAGUAGUGUUAAAGUAACCUACUUGCAUGAUUACAGGUAUUGCAUAUUGCAUUUCGUGAGGCAUGACAUGUAUUUCAAUUGAAUAUAUAUCUGUUGUAUAUUGUUGAUCUAACAUGUUGCAGUGCCUCGUUAGACCUGUUGGCUGAGCUUGUUCUCUUGGGUGGCUAAACCCACUGAGGACUAUGGACAAUAGUCUCACCCCCGUGUUGCUGUUUUGGGGGUACAGGUACACACGUGUGCGGCGCGGCGGCGCAAGGCGAGGACGUAGUUCUGCAGAUAGCGUCCUACCCAGAGACUGAGAUAGCAGUACCCGAGUUGGUGGUCUAGCUUGGGAGGUUUAAAAACAAGAACAAACUUUUGUUUAAGUUGUAAAAGAAUCUGUAAUGAUUAUGAUUGUAUUGGGAGGUUAAUUGUAAAAGAAAAAUUAUGUUGUAAAAUGCAUCUAAGUUGAAUGCUGUAAUAACUUAGUAGUUAUGUUUUUGAUACUUCCUUAUGCAAUCUGUGAAUGAAUACUGUUCCUAUUUGGAACCUCUCGUAUUGUAUUGAUUGCGACGCCUAGAACGUACAGGGGAAACUUUGCCCGUUCGGCGGUCUGCCGGCGGCGCCGC